UACGGAGGGUGCGAGCGUUGUCCGGAAUUAUUGGGCGUAAAGAGCUCGUAGGCGGUGUGUCACGUCGGCCGUGAAAACCUGCAGCUUAACUGUGGGCGUGCGGUCGAUACGGGCAUCACUGGAGUUCGGCAGGGGAGACUGGAAUUCCUGGUGUAGCGGUGAAAUGCGCAGAUAUCAGGAGGAACACCGGUGGCGAAGGCGGGUCUCUGGGCCGAUACUGACGCUGAGGAGCGAAAGCGUGGGGAGCAAACAGG
This 254-nucleotide ribosomal RNA is filed under the name uncultured bacterium. RNAcentral describes it as "partial 16S ribosomal RNA". It matches the Rfam family "Bacterial small subunit ribosomal RNA", at positions 524 to 776 of the family's 1533-position model. The record is from RNAcentral.